UCUACUUUAAUCGUGCUUUUAUAUUGAAACAACGCUGGUUUUUCGCUCCUUCUACGUGCAUUUUGUGCAUCGUACGUGGGCGGAGAUAUCAAGUGUGGUAUAUUAAAAAGGGCUGAAUGGGAUACGUUGUUUAUAUAGAUCAUUUCUUAUUGUAAUUUUUCUGUGGUACUUUAUGCCGCGAAGCAUGCUAUUUUAAAAGCAAUUCAAAGAAGGCUUGAUAAAUAUUUGAGAGAUAAAUAAUUAAUGUAAGAAGGACUCAUUAUUUUAAUGGGAUUAUUAAUAAUGGAAUGAAGAACGAAUAGAGUAGCACUACAUGGCAAGUGCAAAGUUUGAAAAUUAUAAUUUAAAAAAAAUAAAAGACUAGAAAAUUAAUUACAAUUUCUGUACAAAGUUGUACAUUUUUCGAGCAUACAGGAGGCAGCGAAUUAUUCGUUGUCUGACACGAUACGAACAGAAUCUCCCGCCGCUUGAAAGAAGUUCAGGCGAAAUGCAAAAUAAUACGAACCAUUGGAGAACGCGGUAGGGAAGGUUGACGCGUAAUACGAACGAAAUAAAGCUGUCAGAAACAGAUCAAAGGAUACGGCGUAUCCUGGGUGUCGAAGCAACUCGUGGAAAUCUGCGUCAACUCCAAGUGACAGGCCACGUGUCCGGGACUGAUCUCGAUGCGAAUUAAUCGGCUCGAAGCUGUCGAUUCCUCGACGAACUUUGAUCCCACUUAACCGAUGAGAAUCGCUAUUCGAAUUUUUUGCGUUUAAUCCUGUAGUUAUUAAUAAGUGCUUUAAUUACUAAUCUGUCUGUAAGAGACGUAGUCUCUUUUUCGCACGAAAUUUGGAACAUUGCCAAUUUGGCGGUAUGGCCAACACGACCAUCUUUAUGACUAGCUUUUCCAUUGCUUUAAUAAUCAAUAAACAUAGAUAUUCGUUCGAUUUCGUAUCAAAUAAUUUGAUAUUUUAUUUAUUAAUCUAAAUUCGGCGAAGAAAAUCUUUGAGAUUGAAGACAAAUUUCCUAUGGAUAUUUUAUACCGUCCUUUUGCUAGAUGAGUGAUUUAUCUAAAAAAUUGUCAGUUUUGAAAUAUUUACAGAAGUUGUUUCUACGUGUCAAAAAAUCGAACUGUUUAUUAGGAUGGCAAUGUUAUAAUUAUAUAAUAAAAUAUUAUAGCAUUUAUUAUAUAUAUGUAACUCACACUACACAAGAAUUUUACAUGUUUCUUGAUUAAGAAGGAAUUUUCUUUAAUUACGUCACUCUUUUAUCAAAAGAUGAUAAUGUGAAAUAAAUGACAACGAUAUUAAGAUUAUUAUAACGAUUUAAGUUCUUAAUGAAGUUGUGCAUGCUUGAAGAAAGACAGUAAUUUCAUGGGAUAGAAAUAAAUAAGUAAACGUUCGCAUUAAUUAACGUCGCGUGUCGACGAGUUGCGUGCGAUGAUAGUGCGUGUCGCGUUACCAGCUAUAUAUCUGGAAUCCUAUAAUUCUAACCUUCGAAGGUAUUUCCCUUCGUAGGCGUCGUGCGGUGGUUUUAAGGUCACGUGCUAACGAAAUCAGACAUAAACUUCCACUAAUUCAACAAACACCUGACCUACAAUUAAUCCGAACUACCCCAUUCUCAGUACUUAACUCGUUCGAAGUCGAAUUUGUUCCGUUUAUGUAGAGAAAUGAAAUAAGCGACAAGGUUUCGGAGGUGAAAAAUACAUGUUUUAGAUUUUAGAUGAUUUCAGUUCUACGCAAGGAAUGAAAGAAUACAUGUGUCAUUGAUUCCUAAACUAAUCUGUGAUGACACACUGUAUGCAUCAUAUGCAUAAAACUUUGCUUUAAUCUUUACGUAACAUCGUCUAUUGCUUCGUUUCAGUAACGUAUUUCCCCAGAUAGCUUUUUAAAAAUAUGUUUUUAAUACUAGCUGAUAAUAAAAAUUUCUUUUAGAAACCUGUGUUAUUGGCUGUUUUUAUCAGUAAUGCGUCACCGACUUCAAACAGAUUAAGCCUUAUAUUCCAUCUCUAUGCUUUCUUUCAUACGUCAUUGCGCCGAUUAAUCUCGUGAUACGAGUAUCUUUCCGCAAAAGAAUCGUAAUUUCAAUGCGACUCUGAUCCCUCGAGAGGAAAUCGGGAUUUCCAUUCGCUCGACUUGUCAAUCGAAAUUUCUCCGGUGUCCCCGAAGCAAUUUUAACCUUAUUCGUAGACCAGGGUGAGAAAACAGCACGGGAUGAUGUGUGAGAAAAGACACGAAAACAACGUGGAAACGGUGCGAAGUCACAGUUGGAAUAAAAAUCAGAGUUCCUUUCCGCGUUUCCGACGGGUUUAUUUAAUAUCCAUCGUGUAGCAUUUCUGCAAUCCAUAGUGCAAAGUGACGGUCAGUGGUCCACAACGGAUCGUAAAGCAACUUUUAGAUUGGCCGCGAUAAAAUCGUGUGACUCACACUCCAACUAUUUUCCCUGGCCGUUAUAGCAUUUCGAGCGAGUCCACGAAUCGACCCCGAUUUGCGUACGCACACGUACGGGAAACACUGUCGUGACUCUAGAAAAGGAAAAGAAAUAAAUCCAGGCGAUCUAUAGCUGUAGGAAAGACAAGCGUCGUCGACGAUGUGGAUAUGAGCUAGCGAGUGGGAAGGAAAAAGUGUCAGAGGGAUAGCGUGUCAUCGAUUUUAUGUAACCUAUGUUAGUGAAACGUGAAAUUUGGACGUUCACCUCUCGAGUAUAAUAUAUGACUCGCUAGGAGAGUCGAUAGUGCGUUUUUUAUCUUGUAUCGAUAAAAUGUCAAGUCGUCGUUUGGUCGUAUAACGUAUCGUAUAAGGAAGUGUUAUCACAAAGUUUCGGGUUAGGUUUGCUGUGUUAAUAGAAAAUAGAGGUUCAAAGGAAAUGAUUAAGUAACUAAACGAAGUACAAAAUUUUAAAAAUGAAAUGACAAAUAGACUCUAGAUGUUUAUGCAAAUUCGUAGCUUUAUGAGUAACUCCGAUAAAAAAAAAAGUUUCACCCUGUAAAUCAAUAUUUUGUGUAUUUUUGUGUAUCAUGUACUUUCUGUACAUUCUUGCGGCCAAAAAUUUCCAAUAAAUACAUAAACAUCCGUAGUCUAAUUAUAAGUCACGGUGAAUCAUAUUCACUCAACAUCGAUGAAAAUUUAUCCUUGAAAAACGUUGAAUUCGACACUCUAACUUAUUUUUAUACACUUUGAAGACAUUAAAUAGACACGUAUGAAACAUUUUUGUCAAUUUAGUAUUCUAUAUGGUAAUAUCGGCAAUAUUAUAAUUUUUAUAUAAAAUUGUUUUUAAUAUUAAACUUUUACUCGAUAAAAUAACACUUCGUGGAAAAGUAUUUAAUACUUGUUCUAAAUAAUCGAUAGGAACCACGCAUAAUGUAUCCACACUCCGAUCGAAAUAAAAUGGAACCAUGUUAAGUAUUAUUUUGGUUGACCUCGUGUUCGGAACGAAUGAAAGCUACUAUAGAAAGGAUUUGGACAAAUCGAUACCACCAAGCAACUCCCCGGUGCCAAUGAUUCCAUCAUUUUAGAAUCUCCAGACUUGGAAACAACGAAAACAAUGUUGCCUUCGAUGAUCAUUUUCUUCCUUUUAAUCGCUCCACGGAGAUAACUUCGUUAUUUUUAUUUUAUUCGAUCAACAAAAUCCAUCAUCCUCUUGUACCACUGUCUGACCUUCGGCCCUCGUCGUAAGAGAAGGAUCGCCAGCGGGAAAUAAACGAGUAAAUUGCGAUUGAUCGAAUCUUCUGUUCCAAUAUGUCGUCGAUCGGCACAUCUGUUUUGUCAUCCCGUCCUUCGAUCAACCCCUAUCCAUCUAUAGAAACUAUUUUCACGGUGGUGGAGAACAAAAUAUUCGUCUGUAUCAAGAAAAAGGAAAGAAACAUAGAAAAUAUUAUAUAAGGCGUGGUGCAAAAAAUUCGAUAAUAUUUUAUGGAAUUUUUUCAUUUAAGGCACCGAGACACCGAGAAAACCUAGUUUCAAAAAAAAAAAAAAGGUUUUACUAAUAAUAUUAAUUCAAUUGAGAACUUUGAUAAACGCAUAGUUUUUACGUAUUGUUUGAAAACCAAGACCAAGUUAAUUACAAAUGAACAUUUAACAGAUCAUACCAUGUUUUUCCUUUUAUUUGUGAAUAUUGCUCGAUCAGUGACAAAAUAUUAAUUUCGAUUCUAACGAGAAUUUCAUAAUAAUAUUGUUUGAUAGGAUUUGAUGAAACGUUACUAAAACGGAUAACCGAAUGUUGGAAGGAAAUUGUUGCGCUACUUAGAGGGUAUUACAUUGUUGGCUUAAUAUUCAGGAAUCGAUCGAUAGUGAUACAAAGCAUCGACAUACUGUUCAGGAUUACUCCUGAAAAUAAUGAUACCCGUGGAUAACGAACUACGAAAUUACAUGGGGAAACCAUCGCGAAAUCUUGGAUCAACUUUUACCAGAUAUAAUUACAAUCUCGAAGGAAGAACCGUAUUCGUUAACAAACACAUAAUGAAAUAUAUGACAUACAAUUUACAGAAGUCCUUAGAUAACAAAAACCUUCAACCACAAAACAUAUCUUUUGCUUACUCAGACUGUUGAACCUUAUUACACAAUUGAGCUAAAUUAGUUGCCCUUUUUAGUUGAAAUGCUUUGUUUAACAUUUUUCAAUUUUCAAGAUAUCUUGAAAUAUUAAGAAUUCUCCAGAUUUGUUAUCUUUCUGAUCGUUUAAAGUCAGCGACAAGAAUAAUCGGCGAUACUUGCGCGACUUUUCUGUAACUAUCAGUAAAGAAAAUCGUAAAAAGGAAUAGUCGGUUGCUCCACUUUUUAAUCACCCUGUAUAUUAAUUUCACUUCGAACGUGAACGGAAGAACGGAAGAAUGAAAACAAUCGCGGCAAGGGAAGAACAAUAAGACCGAGUUCGAAAGAAAAACAAGAACUAGAAGGAAGGAAGGAUGGAAAGAAGCAAUUUGGAAGGAAGAGAUGAAAUAUCGGGGCGUGAGGGAAAAGUAGAGAAGAAGGCACGGCGAGAGUCGUGAAAGGGUGAAAAUGAGAAAAGAAGGAAAACGAGAAAAUAUGAGGAUUUAGAAAAGAGGCGAGGGAGCUGAGACAGAAGUUGGAGGGAGAGAAAGGAACGCGCCAGUGGUGCGGAUAAGUUUUAUUGCGUUUCAUUUCGCCUGCCGCACUUGAGCGCUUUAUUUAGAGCCAAACGAGCCAGCUGCCCGCGUUUUCUGAUCUCACGGCGCCCUCCUGUCAAGGAAGAAACGCGGACGAUGAUGUAUGCUCGCCCUGUAAAAUCAUUACUUAACCCAUUAGCCGCCGAACAGUGAAAUAACGUGUGUAAGUUGUGUAAAAAAGGACGCUGUUUCGUCUGCUUAAUGGAUUAAGAAUUACUCGGGCAACCAAUGUCGUAAUUCUUAUGAGAAUUCACGCGAGAAAUAUCAUGAUUGCGUUCAUCUUCUGGACGUUCCUCUUCUCGUGGAUGUUUCUUCUGCCUGUCAUACAUUCGAGAAAGUUUCUUAGCCAUGCAUGACAAGGGGCGUACAAAAGUUACACGCCAUGCGGUAUUUCGAGUGAUUAAAGGGACUUUCGUGGAACAGCUUCUGGAGCAAAGUUACUAGCAACAAAUUUAAGACCAUCAGUUUUGAUGACUUAUCUUUCCAGCAUGACUGGCGAACAUGUCUAAAUGUCGGGGAAAAUGCUUUUGUAACCGUAAGAUUUUAAAACAGGAAGCUAAUGUUCCUAACAUUGUAAAGAUCAGUAGAAACUACAUUAAUCGAAUAUUUUUUAUUACUUUUCAUUAAUUAACAAUAAUGAAAUCAAUACAUAUUUUUUAUGGUUUUACGAAGAGGAUAUACUGCGCUAAAAGAAGACCAGUUUCACAAUCCACAAAAAUUUUCUUGAAACAUUGCAAGUCUUUUCGUUUGUUGAAAUAAGAGCAAGAGGGAGACAGAAAAAUUCACAGUAACAGAGAAUGAGCCAAGGAUAAUGCCGGUAGAACCAAUAAUCUAGAGAUCAUUACCGAUUGUCGUUACGAUAAGAACAUACGAGACAAACGUAAAUGUAGCUGGAAGAUUUAAAAGGACGUGUUCACUUUGUGCCUGUUGUCUCGUUUACGACACCAUUGAAGCUAACGUAGCUCGUAAACCAAGGAAACUGAACUGCUGGAUCGUUGCACGGAAUACGAAAUGCCCGGUGAACAUUUUAAAUUCCAUCGAAACACGUUUAAUUAGCACGUGCACCAAUGUCUCGUGACGUCUCACGGAAUCAACGAGCCGAGAAAACUCAUCGUGCGACCAAUUCCGGCCGAAUGAUCGUGCUAUUUUCGCGUGUACUGCACGCACGUCCGAGAUGACGUGACUGUGCCAGGCCGCUUCUUAUUCGAGUCGCGUCGCGAAUACGAUGCUUUGUAGGCGAAAUUCUCGAAAUUGACGAUCGGCGUGCCGCUUUUGGCAAUUAGGAAUCAUGGAUGCGUAGGUGGAGCUUUGUGACGAAUUCCCUUCGUUACAGUGGUACACCGUUUCCCUUUUAAAUAGAGGAAUCUGGUGUGAAUAAUUCUUUAAUUUUAGAAAUUUUAGGUAAUUCCAGUAUGGUUGGUCCAUAGCUUUUGACAAUCAACUGAGUCAACGAUUAUUCUUGCGUAUGGGAAAAUUCAUUACAGUUUCGGUGCAUUGAAAUGUUAUUUUCAAAUCGAGAACAGCGGAACAAUUUUUAGCGGAUCUUCGAGAUUUAUAUCUAACUUGAAUAUGAAUGGUUCUAUCUAGAAUUUUUUAGACGAUUCAGCUGAUUGACAUAUCUACAGCUCCUGACGAUUGAAAAAUAUAGAAAAUUAAAGAAAGACAGGUUAAAAUUGGACAAGAAAAAUUUAGAAUAAAUUUUACUCGACCGAACCGAAGACAAUUAACCGGCCAUCCAUCCCAUAGGUCCAUACCUGUUACAAGCUCGCUAUUUUCCUGCGCUUUGGUCCUCGUUCGUGCGCAUAACCAAAUUAACGGUUGAAUAACUGUGUCUCUUUCUCUAUCCAUCUCUUUUCGUAACCAUUCGAACGUUUAGAUCCGCGAACCGUUCGAAUGAUUGAUUACACGCCCGAGGAUUGCUGACUUAAAAGAUCAUUAAAAGAUCGAUGGAAAUCUGCGAUGCAGCUGUGCAAUGUAACACAAAAACACGCGCAAACACCGAGAAAAUACGUCACGGUAUAUUCCAAAUACACGUGCGCGUGUAACACGAAAAUCUCAGCCAAGUUUGGCCUCGGAAAAGGUGCUGAAUUACCAGAGGAAGAUACGCAGAAAGUUUCUAUUCUGCGUGCUGAUACGGCCGAUAACAAUAGAAGCAGUUGUUUCUACUUUUGGAUCUUUCUUCCACAAUGCACCGGAUCAAACCUUUUCACAGUUUAUACGUAGCUUCAUCCGAUUAAACGAGAUAUAGCAGGUUUACGGAAGAUCGCAAAUAUUCUGACGAAGUAGGAAAUAAUUUUAUUGUAAAUAAAUAAAGAAUUAUUAAAAUAAUGAUUAAUACGAAUUUCUGUGGAUGUUUGUCGUUGAUAGAAAUUCAUAAUUAUAUGAAAACAAGUAAAAAAGGAGGAAUAUGAAUAGAGUUUUGUUUCAUCUAUGGAUUUAAUAUUAUAACGAAAAUACUACACUCUGAAUGCUUCAUAUACUUUUUAAUAUUCUGCGCAUACCUUCAAAUUUGUCGGAAAUGCGUAAAAAUCCUCAAUCUAAAUAUUAGUAUUUCUUGAAAUUCACGCUUUCAAAGUCGUUGAUUACAAAGCCACGAAGCAAAAUAAGUAAAAUGAAGAAAAUAAUUCCACGUCGAAUUGUAUCCAAGCACCAGCUGUGUAAAGGCGCGUGCAUAGAGUGUGAAAUGUGGAAGCGCAUGUGUGUGCAAACCGCGUGGAGAAGGACAAGAUCGUGCAAAUAUCAUGAUUAUACUUACCAUAGCAUCCGUUAGACGCGCUCCACCUUUAAAGCAAUCCAUGCAGACCGCGUUGAUUCACCCUCCUGUUUGAACCUUUUGAUUGUUGAUCAAUGGUAUCGAUCAUUUUCUCGAGUAUUGAAUAAUUGCACGAUAUUACGAUGUUAAAAGAGAACGUGAGGGGAAAAAAGAUCAAGCAAAUGAACGAGGUCUUUCACGUUUCUCGACCGGAUCCCAACAAUAUUUCUUUCUUCUUUUCUAAUGGAAGAAAAGGAAAACGAAACUAAAGAAAGAUCACUGAAUAAAAAUUCAAUAGACGAAGAAGUCUAGAGGGUGUCCAAUUUACAUAACAAUUUGCACAGGGAAUUAAUUCGAGGAGGUUCUGUUGUCCCUUUACACGUGGGACCAGCAGUCGUGGAAACCGUAUGAACGGAAGAAGCGCGGUUCGCGUUAAAAGGUGAUUUCUCGCCGAGAUAAAACGCUAGUGAUUUGUUUUGUCUGCUUCUCUCUCUCUCUCUCUCUCUCUCCCGCCUCCGUGAUAACGGUGGAAAUUAAUCAAAGAGCAACGUUUACAAGCGAUUACGAUAUAACCAGUAGGAUUUCAUAAGCGAAAAUGAGAAAAAAGCAUAUUUAAUGGAAACGAAAGAAAGAAAGUGCAGAAAAAUCAGACAUAUACAGAGUGUUAAAAGAGAUAUACAUGUGGUGUGAAUUUGAAUAUCAAAGCAAUGAAGAAAAUUUAUGUAGUAAUAAAUGACAUUUAAUAUCUACCAAUCUAAUAAUUUUACGCUAGAAAUACAUUGAUAGCCGUAUAGAAUGAUAAUGGAUAUCUAGAAUUGUCUUGAUGUCUAAAAUCACACCACAUAAAUGUUACCUACUUUUUUUAGCGCAUUGUAGAAGAGCAUUUUUUCACGCACCGAUUACCGAGAUACCUUUCCUGUUUUUUGUAUACGAUUCUUAUCGCCUCUCGUUGAAACCGUGAGAGCUCUCACAGAGAUUAUCCCGUAAUCAGCGAAGUUAGGAGUGGAGAAUGGCAAGAGGAACGAUCCUACAAGUCUUUCAGUAAAGAAAACACGGUGAUGCGAGGACGGCUUGAUUUCACGGUGCUGGAAAAGCGAUUUUGAAUGAACUACCCCGGCCAUUCGCGUGCGCUCGUUGUUUCUUAUUUUCAGAAACAGACGAUUCACAGCGAACAAGAGACGUCUUGUCUUUUCAAGAUUAAAGGAAACGAAAUAGAGUUUUUUCGCUCGUGAUUCUUUCUUUGGUCGAACGAGAUCCAUCGGAGUUUCCUCGGUAAAGUAACAAGUUGAGCAGAAACAAAGGAAGUAGAAUAGGAUCUUAGUCGGGCACAGAGAAACACAAGACGUUUCCGCGGCCAGAACCGGGAAUGCGAAACGAUACAUAUCGAUGAUUCGAUAAACAUCCAAGUUUCUAUCUUUGAACGGCGAUAUAACUUGAUUAACCGACAUGCACCGAUGUUAAAAUAUCGAACUUGUAUCCCUAAAACGAGCCCAGAACAAAGGAAUUUUACGAUGGCGCUUAAAACUUUCCUCCCUUUCAUUACGCUCGUAAUAUCUAACGGGCGAGGAUUAGGAUAAGGAAAACACAAUCUUUGUGCGCGACGGAAUUUUAAUUUCUUCAGAUUGAUAAUAAUUAAUUCGGAAAUUUAUCUGAGAGCAGAGUUACGAUGCUAAAUAUUAAAGAGGAAAUAGGUCCAGUAUACAGAAUGUUUCGGUAAUCGUGAAAUUCUGUCUUACCAGGAACUCGUUUUACAAAUUGAAAUGUAAGCAAAACCAGUAAAUAAACGGAAAUUUUAUCUAAAGAGGCAUAAAAUUAAUAUCUACCGCUGAUAUGUACUUAGAUAGCACAGAAACUGAUAAGAAAUCAAUAUUAGGUAUGAUAUUAACGUUACUUGUAGACAGGGUGUGGCCUGUAUCGAAAUCUGUAUUCGUCUAUGACGUAGUUAAGUACAGGUAUAUUCAAAGAAUAUUCUUAACAUUCGACCUUUUCGAAAAUAAAGUCUCAUGUAAGAAUUUUCCAUUUAUUUUUUAACUUUCAUUUUCCAGAACCAUCCUCAUCUUGAUUGUACCUCGAUUAUUUGCACACCCUAUAUAGUAAGAUUUCCAACACACGAAACAACGCGAAACACAAUCUUUUAGUUAAGAAUAAGGGGGGGGGAAAGGUUCGAUUAAUUAAAGUUCGUGUACUUCAGGGACACGAUUCAUUACGCGAGGAUCACGAUCACAGACUGACCGAAUAUCUCGUAAGCAUUCCCUCGUUUCCCGUAGUUCAUAAAUAUUGAACGACUGCUGCUGCACACCCUCGAACAAGAACGUCGUUCGUUUAAAUAAUGGAUGCUUGCUCGACGUUACGAAAGAGGGAAAGUCAAAGAUACGAAGAAACGAGUGUCUCUCUUGUAAGAGAGCUUGGUUUCCGUGAUGUUCGCGUGAUGAAUGCGAAUUUCUGCGUCUAACGAAUUAAGCCCAGCGUCUGGUUCUGAUCGAUCUACCUAUCGAGAAAUUAUUUCGGGUCGUUCGACCUGGGAUUCUUUUUCUGCUUACAUAUCGCCCCUCGAUCAAAGGUAUCUUUUAGUAUUUUCAGAGCUGUUAUACGAUUAAAAUAAUAUUGUUAGUAAUAUUUUUCAAGCGAGCUUAUUUGACGAAAAAUUGUAAGAUUAUAUUAUAUAGAUUAAAGAAACCUAUAACUUGUUAAUUCAUUAACAUUGAUAUUUAAUAGUGAUCUAAUUUAUAUAUAUAAUUACAAUAAUUACAGUAUAAUUAUAUAUAAGUUAUAUAUAAUAAUUACAGUUACAGUUACGAUAAUUCAUUAAUUAUAUUGUAAAAUAAAGAUUGAUCUGGAUGCUCCUUUCGGACAAUUAACUUCCAGGCUUUCGAUACCUCGAUAACUCGAUACCUAUAAGCUACGCGUUCAAUCGUGUCUGAUCAUUGACGUCUUGUUCCACUGGCGCUGAGCGAAAUCUUUACGAAUAAAUAUGAUCUGAAGGAUCGUUUUGAAACCGGUUUCGUAUUGUUGGAUAUAAACAGAACAGGAAAGAGGAAAGUACGAGGAGCAACAACUAGAUAUAUAUCGGACAAGAGUAAGAUACUUUUAAAUUUAAUUUAUUCGAUGUCUGGACGAAUAACGGCGCCCGCCGUGGAAUAUUUAUCGAGUGUUUUCUAUUUUCAUAUCGAACCUCGAGCGAUAUAGACCGACUCAAAAAAAGUAUUUAGAUACUUUCAUAGGUGUAUUAUGUGUAUUUUAGAAAACAUUUUGAGAGAAAUUUCAUUAGUACCAUAACGAAACAUAAUUAUCAUGAUUAUGUUGGCAAAAACAUAUAUAGCAAACAUAAAAUCAUUUACGAUAAUGUUCGCACAUCGUAUUUGCGUUCCCUUUGCGACCGACUUCGUUCGUGGCGUAUUUAGUCUCAAAUUAGCAUAGCUAUGUCAAUUGGGCGGAUCCAAAAGUCGACGUGAAAAAUGCUUGUCGUGCGGAAUAAAUGUACCCACUGUGGGGCCGAUAAGCGUCAUCAGGACGCCUUGAAACACGAGGAACUGCGUCGUGGAGAUUUAUCGUCGCCAGAAUGUAUCAGUGGCCUGCUGGUGUUUAAUUACCAUCCUUAAUUAACGGUCGACGCGAGGAAUUCACGGAAGAUGAAACGACACUAUGGGACACCCGGUCGCCCGAGUGAAAUUUACUUCAUCAUUUCUCGUAGUUUUGAAAACAUUUCUAAUUACCAUUCCUUUUUUUAGAUUCUUUCCUUUCUUUUGUGUUAUUAAUGUUAUUGGGCUUAAAACAAUUCGAUAAUGUUCAUUCCGAAUUGUAUAGCAAAUACAAUUAUAUUAAAAGAAAUAUACGUUGCACACGUUGCAACAUUUCAGCGCAUGAUUCGCGGCUCGUAAAAGAUUCAUUAACGGCACUGCAACGGUAUUUAUAUUCUCAUUCGCAAUAAUUUGUAAAGUAGUACGGUGAUUAAGGCUAGAAAAAGUAGAAUGGAUAAUAAAUAGCUCCGAGAAGAUCAGGACACCGUGUCGUAAAUUAAUACAUCGUUUAUUUUUUGUGAGCGUUAAUAAUACACUUUUUUAUUCGUGUAGCAUGGCAGAUUUUAAACGAGAAUGAAAAAUCCACUACGGCUCCGUCGGAUUCCUCGUUGAGCAUUAGUUACCGGCUACGUUAUUCUGAUCGCAACGCGCACGUCAUUUGGCAACACGAGUGAUACCGCGGUACUCGUACAACAAUGUUAUAAAUUUACGUCACGAGGAUUACAUAAAUAUUUACGCGUUCCUUAGAUUAUCGGGACGUGUAUGACGGUCUAAUAAUAAUAUCGAUACGUUCUAAUAACGGUUUACUUCGAUUCCCCCAUUAAAGAAUCGCGUACCGGUUGCAAAUUGUGACUAGAAACGGCGAGAAACCAUCGGAAGCUGCCAGCCAGCGUUCAUUUUUAUUUUCAACACAAACUUUCGUCAAUGAACGCGCGCCGGAGCCAUCGCUAAAAUUAGAAACAAUGUAUUUCAUGGCUGUCGAUCGGCCGUCGGGCGCAAAGUAUUUAAAAAUCUUAUCGUUUCGAAGAAGCCUUAAUGGUAGCCAACCAGAGAUAUUUUCGUUCGUUUUAUUUUCUAACGUUUAUAGAACGUUUACAGUGACAGAAGACAUGGCCAUGUACGCGUGGCUGAUUUUAUAGACUCUCCUCUACGCAUAUAACGUACGGUAUAGUUUAACGUUAUAUACAAGUCUCUCUCGUGUUUGCCAGCGAACCGAGCUUCCGUGGUAACCUCUUAUUACAAAAUUCCCUAUCUCACGAAGAAACGAGAGCUCGAAAUAACAAUUCUCUCAAGCAAUAACCAGCAAACGUCGUUCAACGCUUGCCAACAGAAUUCUAAACAGAAGCUUCCCUUGUCUUUUAUAUCUUCCUUUACACCAUUCUCGUUUCCGAUCGUCCGUUCUUCGCGGUCAAAGAAACGCUGACGAAGUUUAAGACUUCGAACUCUAGGAGAUCCAUCAAAAUUCCGGCUGUUUCAAAGAAAAUCAAACAAAAUACGAUUAGCCGACUCGGCGCGAAGCAGCUAGAUCGUACGUUUGGCAUAUUCCUUCCACCUUGAUCUCCCCACCAGCGGUCACUUCUACCCCCAGACCUGACCGUUUUAAGCUUCUUGAUCGAGUUAAGGCACUCUCCAAACGCCAUUCCAUUUCUCUCGUGGCACGUGGCCGACGCAUUUAUUUAUAAAUACCAAUGCUACCGCACACAGCUGUCCGUGAUUGUACGCGUUUGUAUAACUGGACUAGAACAACGUGUGUAUGUAUGUGUGAAGAUUAUGCGUAAGCUCAGGAUGCUCGAUCUUUGUCGUAUAAGAAGAAGAAGACCGGGUUGACUCGCUAUCAAUUCACAAACGUUCACGUUGCUAAUAGAGUUCUUGAACCUACCACGCCCCGUCAAUAUAUCGCGCGCGACUUUCACCAAGCUUUGACCUUCUGUCGCGACUUCAAACGUACUCCCAAGAAAACUUUAAGGCAGGUCGAAUAUUCGUAGAAUGUCAUGAACGUCCCGUGUUCGAGCGCCGUCGAGGAACAGCGCGAAGAAAUUACGAGGGCUCCCCGCACGGUGUUUAGCAAGUAUAUAUGAAAAUGCUUCUAUAUUUGACAAGAGAAAUCUCUGGCAUUUUAAAUAGGAACGGCACGUUUGUUGGUCAGAGUCGAUUAUACUCACGGAAGCGUUAAUGUUGCAGCGACAAAUGGCGAACGACCGAUCGGUGUAAACACUUGUUGCGAAUCGAUUGUUCCGUGCCGCGCUCGUUAAUCGCGUUCGCGUAACGAAUUUGACUCUUGAAAUUCGAGUUUCGUUCCGCGAUAUUCGAGUUUUCAGCAGGAUAUUGUAACAUUCUAUGCGACAGUGAUCGUUCAAUUUGUCUAGGUAAAUCCUAGUUUUCACAAAUCUUUCUAUUUUCUAUUGUAACGUACCGAUGGAAUUAACACAGUAUACAUUUAAAUUAUCUGUUAAAUGAAUUACCAUCAAUAUGGAGUAGAUUUACCGUAAUACAUUAGGGAUUGAUAGUUUUAGCAAUCAAAAGUGGACUCGCGUAAUAUUGUAAUUAAGCUAUAUCCUGCAAAAAAUGAGUAUACCGAUACUUUCUAACGACAAUGUAUACCUAGAAAUAGUCCCUCGUUAGGCAAAGCUCAAUGCUCGCCAAACGACCCUCGAGAUCCAUCGAAGAGGAAACGAUGACAGAAGAACAACGGAUCCGUCCGUCAGUUACAACCCCCGGAGGACUUAGCCGACUCACGAUGCAAUUAGCUAUCGUCGCAGGAGGAGCUCGUUUGCGCGACGAAGUCGAGCCAUUCAUCGAGGGCAGUUCGGCUGCCUCGUCCCGGUUCACAAAGAAGGGAACGAUUCACGCGUGGAUAACGAAAGCUCGUAUCCGCUUUUUCUUCCUUUGUUCUGUGUAGUUUUUCUCUAGUGAGCGUGUCGCAACCCUUCGAUGCUCGCACGGCGUGCAAAGCCUCUCCCGUUUAACAUCAUAACGGCGGAUUGCCUGUCGUUGAUAAAACAGGCGUCACCUACUUUGUAAACUGCCGUCAUUUCCGUUUUUCGAACGCCUUGCGUCACGGUUUGUUGCGUGCCCGUGCGAAAGUAAUCGUCCACCCGAGGAGAGUAUGUCCGUUACAGUUUUAGACGCGGCUCCUUUUUAUGCGGACAAUCUUCUAUUUUUUUUUUCCUCCGCCGCUUUACGCCUCCGCCUCCCUCGCAUAAUAGCUCACACGACUACACAUGCGCUCUGUCGUCGUACUUAAUUAAUAGGUUUCAAAUAGACUGACCUUCCUUCCGAUACACGAUUCACCGCGAUAACGUCGGUAGAUGGAAAUAACCGAGAUUCGAUGGUCUAAUUUUGCUUUUAUUUGGCCGCUUCUCGAUCGCCUAACGGCCACGAACCGCCAACGGUGAAUAGUUUCGAAUAAAUACAGCCGUACGCGAGUCGAAUGAUUUAGCGCCGAUCGAGGAAGCAGACCAUAUGGGACUAUUUCCACUAAUCUAUCGUGCGAAAUGUAGCGUAGGAUUUUUGAAAAAUUUUAACGAUUAUAUAGAAAUGGCAGCGAUUUGAGGAAAAACGAAUCAACCAUAAACGUUACGAAAAUAUCAAAUAAUCGAGAUAUAAGAAACAAUUAAUAACGAGCUAUUUCCACCUUAUUUAUAGAAAAUAUCAUUCAAUUACAUCAGGUCUGAGUAAUUGUAUAAUUUGAUAUUUCUGAUACCAAAUAAAACUAAAAGAGUAGUCGAAGAUACGAAAGUCAAGACUUGUUAGAAUUCCAUGAAAGCUUGAAACACGACUGCGAGAACGUAUGAAAAAGCGAGGUCAGGUACAAAAUCCGAUCUGACAAUCGGGGCUAGGUACGCUAUAGCGUUGUACGUUCAGGUAUCGUUCGAAAGAAACAAACAGAUGAGAACGACAGGCUUGUGGGGUGGUUAGUGACGAUCUGGUGGAGGCUGCGGACCGAAAUACACUCGCAUGGCCAAUUCUUACUAGCACAGACGCGAUUUUCAUUGCACGUGCAACCAACCACCAUCUUAGAUGGUGGCCGCGCUAUUUCAGGCGGGCCAGGCAGUGCCAUGUAGCGAAACAGGAUCGUACACCGACUUUUGUUUACCCGUAGACAACGAAAUCUCUUCGAAGAAUCUCGUUUUUAUCGUAAUAUCCAUCACGAUCGUGUAAAUCGCUAUCGAUACAUGGCCGAAUAUAAUGUUCGUCUGUUGGGUGAACUGGCAUCAAUUUUUAAUAAUUUUGAGGUUGAAAAUAAAGAGAGCGAGGUUCGAGAAUGGAAAAAAGGCAGACCACUAGCGAUCAAUUUUUCAGCGGCGAAAUUCACCGAUGAUUAUUUUAGCGCGAGAUACCCGGCCGUUCCCUAUCAUGCCUGUGUCGAAUGAAAGUUUGCGUGGCUCGAUGGCCGCGAUACUUCAUGCACGACAGAUAUAAGCCAGAAAGGGUCUUCACCCUCGUAAUCUAUACGGAACAGGUUGGAACUCUCCUGCUCGCAUGAGGAAACCGAGUAAAUAGAGAACACGCUCGUAGUUGGAACUGUUGGAAGUCGUUUGAUAAAUAGAGGAACGACCCCGUAGUAAACGUUUUUAGGGACAAUCAACCGGCGAACAUCGACGCGUGUUUUAACCUUACACGUGCCUACGCGGUCACGUGCCUCUCAGCGCCAAUUAAAUCGCAGGCAGUUUGCCCUCCAUAGAUAUCGCGAAAUAUGGGGUAAUGUUUGGGUAACAAAAAUAACAUUCCACCGCUAAAAGGAUAAAAUCAGAAGUUCUGUAAUCGCGUGUAUGAAGUUGUAUUUAUCGCGAACGAAUUUUUUUAAAUAUAAACGUCGGAGCUUCUUUACGUUAGAACUACCUGGGCAAUCCAAAUGACCAAUAGACCAUCUUCUUGGGCAAUGGACACAUAAGGUUGAAUGGUAAAUUGAAUAAAUUGCGUGGUAAGUUUUAGUUCUAGUUUUGUGAUAUUAGCUACGUUUGAAAUGAUAAUUAUAAUGGUUCUUAAGGAAUUUCAAUCUUCUUAUAUUAAUAAAAUAAAGAAAAAUUUAAUAAUAAUUCAAGUAUUUAUUUACCUAUAUAUCCUAGAGACUUCUGAAUUCGUGAUUGUUGAUAGAAAUUUUGUAGAUUUACAAUGCUAUACUUUUGAGAAUUUGAAUGAUUCUUUUAUGAAGAAUAUAAAUAAAUCUUGUUUUUUACAUCAUAAUUUUUACAUUAUAUUUAUUCGUAAACCUUGUACCAAGGUUGAACUACGGACGAAGAAACGACCUUAUCCUUGAAGACCACGCGAGAACGAAACAAACUUAGCCUAAUCGAAGAAAACGACACGGAUAAUGCCUUAAACGAGAGAAGCUCGAGUCGAAACGACAAAGUGGAAUAACGGAAAAGCACGAAAUUCGACGCUGCUCGAGUUCCAUGAAGUGGAGCAAGCGUGUCGUGAAGAGAGGCGAGGGAAAAGCAGACUCGACGGAAAUUCAAUAACCAGUAAAAGUUUCCGUAACGGAGAGAACGAACGAACAAUCUUUCUUUCUUUUUCUGUCUCACCUGCGAAAGAUACAAGCGGCUACCAGAUGAAACAUUGUGAAAUUAGAACCUCGACAAUAAUUAAUAUAGGUCGUUGUUUAAAAAUGACCAAUCAAUUAAAUAGAAUCCUCAAUAAUUAA
Molecule: long non-coding RNA, 17015 nt
Organism: Bombus terrestris (buff-tailed bumblebee)
Lineage: Eukaryota; Metazoa; Arthropoda; Insecta; Hymenoptera; Apidae
Exons: 3
Source: RefSeq, a predicted model, not a curated record